RNAcentral lists this ribosomal RNA (450 nucleotides) under uncultured bacterium. RNAcentral's name for it is "SSU rRNA". It matches the Rfam family "Bacterial small subunit ribosomal RNA", at positions 26 to 518 of the family's 1533-position model. The record is from RNAcentral.
AGAGCGAACGCUGGCGGCAGGCUUAACACAUGCAAGUCGAGCGGGCGUAGCAAUACGUCAGCGGCAGACGGGUGAGUAACGCGUGGGAACGUACCUUUUGGUUCGGAACAACACAGGGAAACUUGUGCUAAUACCGGAUAAGCCCUUACGGGGAAAGAUUUAUCGCCGAAAGAUCGGCCCGCGUCUGAUUAGCUAGUUGGUGAGGUAACGGCUCACCAAGGCGACGAUCAGUAGCUGGUCUGAGAGGAUGAUCAGCCACAUUGGGACUGAGACACGGCCCAAACUCCUACGGGAGGCAGCAGUGGGGAAUAUUGGACAAUGGGCGCAAGCCUGAUCCAGCCAUGCCGCGUGAGUGAUGAAGGCCCUAGGGUUGUAAAGGCUCUUUUGUGCGGGAAGAUAAAUGACGGUACCGCAAGAAUAAGCCCCGGCUAACUUCGUGCCAGCAGCCGC